RNAcentral lists this unclassified non-coding RNA (297 nucleotides) under Hevea brasiliensis (rubber tree). Lineage: Eukaryota; Viridiplantae; Streptophyta; Magnoliopsida; Malpighiales; Euphorbiaceae. The record is from RNAcentral.
AUAUUGAUAGGUCUGUUUCUGUUAGAGAUAUUCCAGCUAACUUAAAGGAUAUUUCCUGUCUGGUAUCUUAGAUUUUGUUCAUUAGCAUGCCGUGAGGAUGACCUGCUUUGCAUGCAUGCUUCUCCUUUUCCCCAUUGCCACUAUUGUCCAGUGGGUUUGGGGUUCACCGUUCAUCUGAGUUCCCUUUAUAAAUUGAAUGCAAGCAAUGGUUCAUUCGGACUCUUAGGAUACAUCUCAGGUCCUUAUGUUUACACUGAGGCCCAAAUCGAUGGAUAAGAGGUGGAUAAGUUAUCUUUA